AUAUAUCCCUUUUAUUUUCUUGAUCUGAGACAAAACCCUAAUCUCCUACAUCUUCUUGGUCGCUUCAUCUACAUAUUCACACCGAUCAUCCUCUUCAAUCGUACAGGCAAAUUGCGAUGGCAUUUGAUGGUCGCUUUCUUUGUUCGCGCGUGGGUUCUGAAUCUGGAAAGUUCGUUGCAGGAUUGAAGAUCCUUCAUUUUCUGCAUGUGCUGGG
Long non-coding RNA from Helianthus annuus (common sunflower), 214 nucleotides. RefSeq lists it as uncharacterized. The transcript is spliced from 3 exons. Lineage: Eukaryota; Viridiplantae; Streptophyta; Magnoliopsida; Asterales; Asteraceae. The record is from RefSeq and is a predicted model, not a curated record.